RNAcentral lists this long non-coding RNA (2770 nucleotides) under Cyanistes caeruleus (blue tit). RNAcentral describes it as "lncRNA (ENSCCEG00000017633.1)". Lineage: Eukaryota; Metazoa; Chordata; Aves; Passeriformes; Paridae. The record is from RNAcentral.
AAUGGCAGCCGGGAGCGGCCCCCCCGUGCUGACAGCCCGGCUGUGCCACCCUGCCGACCCCCGACACCCCCGUGCUUCCCUCCCGACGGGCCCAACAACAAGGCCGGCUUUCCCCCGCACGGCCCCAGCGUCCCUCCAAAGCCCCGGGGCCACCCGGAAAGCCCCAGUACCCUCAACAGCCCCCGGCUCUCCUCCGCAGUGUGCCCACCCGGCCGUCCCAGUGUUCCCCCGCAGCCCUAAGGUGCCCAGACCGCCCUUCCCACUGCCCAAGUGACCCCCCAGAAACCCGGAGUGGCCCAGCCUGGCAGCCACCCCUGGAGCCCCGGGGCUGCAGGGACCCCACGGAGCCCCCAGGUACGCGUCAGGGCUGAGCAUGGCUCAGCCAUUGGGAGCCCAGGCAGCCGGGGACACUGGGCCUCUGCUGUGUCUCUGCUGGGACCCUGUGUCUCCCCCAGGACCCGGUGUCUGUGCUGGGGACCUGUGUCUGUGCUGGGACCCUGUGCCUCUGCUGUGUCUCCCCCAGGACCCUGUGUGUCCCCCAGGACCCUGUGUCUCCCCCAGGACCCUGUGUCUCUGCUGGAACCCUCUGUCUCCCCCAGGACCCUGUGUCUCCCCCAGGACCCUGUGUCCCUGGUGUUACCCUGUGUCCCUGGUGUUACCCUGUGUCCCUGGUGGAACCCUGUGUCCCUGGUGUUACCCUGUGUCCCUGGUGGUGCCCUGUGUCCCUGGUGUUACCCUGUGUCCCUGGUAGAACCCUGUGUCCCUGGUGGAACCCUGUGUCCCUGGUGGAACCCUGUGUCCCUGGUGGUGCCCUGUGUCCCUGGUGGAACCCUGUGUCCCUGGUGGUGCCCUGUGUCCCUGGUGGAACCCUGUGUCCCUGGUGUUACCCUGUGUCUCUCCCAGGACCCUGUGUCCCUGGUAGAACCCUGUGUCCCUGGUGGAACCCUGUGUCCCUGGUGUUACCCUGUGUCCCUGGUGUUACCCUGUGUCCCUGGUGGUGCCCUGUGUCCCUGGUGGAACCCUGUGUCCCUGGUGGAACCCUGUGUCCCUGGUGGUGCCCUGUGUCCCUGGUGGAACCCUGUGUCCCUGGUGUUACCCUGUGUCCCUGGUGUUACCCUGUGUCUCUCCCAGGACCCUGUGUCCCUGGUGUUACCCUGUGUCCCUGGUGGAACCCUGUGUCCCUGGUGUUACCCUGUGUCUCUCCCAGGACCCUGUGUCCCUGGUGUUACCCUGUGUCCCUGGUGGUGCCCUGUGUCCCUGGUGUUACCCUGUGUCCCUGGUGGUGCCCUGUGUCCCUGGUGUUACCCUGUGUCCCUGGUGGAACCCUGUGUCCCUGGUGGAACCCUGUGUCCCUGGGUGGGCACACAGGGUGCACAGCUCUCAUUUCCCUGUGACACCGCAGAUCACGGGUGGCACGUGGGGAGCUGUGGGAGCCUGUGCUGGGCACUGCAGACUCUGCUGGCUCAGAAGACCCCUCGCUCUUUAGAAGCCUGGUGUUUGGAGCACAGGAGAGUUUGCAGCUGCUGGAGAACUGGGAAAGGUCGUUCAGUUCCAAGCCCCUGCCAUGGACACCUUCCUUGGGCCAGGUUGUUCCAAGCUCCAUCCAACACGGACAGCAAGAGGAGCAGCACUACUGCGGUGUCACCGCUUUUGGGGACAGCUCAGCUGGAGCAGGGACAUCGAUGGCACUGCUCCCUUGUCUGGACUCAUUUUCCCCCUGAUUCUGCCCGUGCAAAAGAGAUCUGGGAGGACCUUGGGAAGGCGUUUUGAUCCAUCCAUCAGCUGGGAGAAGCAGGUCUGUUGUGAGCCCUUCUCAUUUAACAGCAUUUGGAAAAGCACCUGUUAUCAGAGAGGGAGUUUGGGCAGCAGCACUGGCUGCUCCUGGAGCCAAAACCAGCCAAAUGGAGCAUCCCAACUGCUCCCUGCUGGGACACAGACGUCAUUAAGCCGUGUCUCUGGUAAUUAAACAGCUGCUGCACCUCACCUAGAGUCAGAUUUGUUACUGGGGCGCAGCAGGGACGUGUUGGAGUGCGGAUCUGGCGGGACGGACACGGCUGGUGCUGGGUGUCCAAAUUCCAUGUUUAAUCUGAGUCUCACAUCCCCCAGCUGGCUGUGACCAGAGCACUGAGACCAAACACAAAACUUCUGCUCUUUUUGAUUCUUCUGCGCUUCUCACUCCUGCAUUUCUGUCUCUUCUGAGCUCAGCUCCUUUGGAAUAUUCCCUCACAUGUUUAUCUCAGUUCUCAGGGUCCAAAGCUCGUUAGGAUCUUGCUUCUCGUGUUAAUUAGGAUGUCAUCACAAAAGCUGGCAGGUCUCUCCAGACUUCCUGCACAACUUCAAUUCACCAUAACUGGGCUCCCUUUGGUUCUGAAGGCACAAAAUGGCUGUUUCAUCUUUAUAUUCAAUUUAUCCAAUUAACUAUAGACACGUGGAUUGUUUUUAUAUAUUAACAAAUUUGUUUUUUCUAUCUACUUACAUAGUUAAAACUGUGACCAACUUUCAACCAAUCACUCUUUGUGCUCCUAAAAACUGCAGAAUCAUGGAGAAGAAGGAAGAAGGAGGGCUAAAAAACACACUUUUUUCCCUCUGUCUUUACUCCAUGUAUUAAACAAUCUGAAAUCUCUAUUUUUUACUUUGGUGACAUACUAAACAUUCUACUACUUUGUACUUAAUUUUUUUCUAAAUCCUGGUUUACCCAGGGAUAUUUGGAAGCCUUUCUGUCAGUGACAAAUAGGAUUAAUAGCUUUUUGGAGAACAGGAUAAAGGGAGA